GGAAACUGCCUGAUGGAGGGGGAUAACUACUGGAAACGGUGGCUAAUACCGCAUAACGUCGCAAGACCAAAGAGGGGGACCUUCGGGCCUCUUGCCAUCAGAUGUGCCCAGAUGGGAUUAGCUUGUUGGUGAGGUAACGGCUCACCAAGGCGACGAUCCCUAGCUGGUCUGAGAGGAUGACCAGCCACACUGGAACUGAGACACGGUCCAGACUCCUACGGGAGGCAGCAGUGGGGAAUAUUGCACAAUGGGCGCAAGCCUGAUGCAGCCAUGCCGCGUGUAUGAAGAAGGCCUUCGGGUUGUAAAGUACUUUCAGCGGGGAGGAAGGUGUUGUGGUUAAUAACCGCAGCAAUUGACGUUACCCGCAGAAGAAGCACCGGCUAACUCCGUGCCAGCAGCCGCGGUAAUACGGAGGGUGCAAGCGUUAAUCGGAAUUACUGGGCGUAAAGCGCACGCAGGCGGUCUGUCAAGUCGGAUGUGAAAUCCCCGGGCUCAACCUGGGAACUGCAUUCGAAACUGGCAGGCUUGAGUCUUGUAGAGGGGGGUAGAAUUCCAGGUGUAGCGGUGAAAUGCGUAGAGAUCUGGAGGAAUACCGGUGGCGAAGGCGGCCCCCUGGACAAAGACUGACGCUCAGGUGCGAAAGCGUGGGGAGCAAACAGGAUUAGAUACCCUGGUAGUCCACGCCGUAAACGAUGUCUACUUGGAGGUUGUGCCCUUGAGGCGUGGCUUCCGGAGCUAACGCGUUAAGUAGACCGCCUGGGGAGUACGGCCGCAAGGUUAAAACUCAAAUGAAUUGACGGGGGCCCGCACAAGCGGUGGAGCAUGUGGUUUAAUUCGAUGCAACGCGAAGAACCUUACCUGGUCUUGACAUCCACAGAACUUUCCAGAGAUGGAUUGGUGCCUUCGGGAACUGUGAGACAGGUGCUGCAUGGCUGUCGUCAGCUCGUGUUGUGAAAUGUUGGGUUAAGUCCCGCAACGAGCGCAACCCUUAUCCUUUGUUGCCAGCGGUCCGGCCGGGAACUCAAAGGAGACUGCCAGUGAUAAACUGGAGGAAGGUGGGGAUGACGUCAAGUCAUCAUGGCCCUUACGACCAGGGCUACACACGUGCUACAAUGGCGCAUACAAAGAGAAGCGACCUCGCGAGAGCAAGCGGACCUCAUAAAGUGCGUCGUAGUCCGGAUUGGAGUCUGCAACUCGACUCCAUGAAGUCGGAAUCGCUAGUAAUCGUGGAUCAGAAUGCCACGGUGAAUACGUUCCCGGGCCUUGUACACACCGCCCGUCACACCAUGGGAGUGGGUUGCAAAAGAAGUAGGUAGCUUAACCUUCGGGAGGGCGCUUACCACUUUGUGAUUCAUGACUGGGGUGAAGUCGUAACAAGGUAACCGUAGGGGAACCUGC
RNAcentral lists this ribosomal RNA (1398 nucleotides) under Salmonella enterica. RNAcentral describes it as "bacterial SSU rRNA". It matches the Rfam family "Bacterial small subunit ribosomal RNA". The record is from RNAcentral. Lineage: Bacteria; Pseudomonadati; Pseudomonadota; Gammaproteobacteria; Enterobacterales; Enterobacteriaceae.